UACGUAGGGUGCGAGCGUUGUCCGGAAUUAUUGGGCGUAAAGAGCUCGUAGGCGGUCUGUCGCGUCUGCUGUGAAAACUCAGGGCUUAACCCUGAGCUUGCAGUGGGUACGGGCAGACUAGAGUGCGGUAGGGGAGACUGGAAUUCCUGGUGUAGCGGUGAAAUGCGUAGAGAUCCGGAGGAACACCAAAGGCGAAGGCAGUGUCCUGGGGAGUACCUGACGCUCAGGUGCGAAAGCCAGGGGAGCGAACGGG
RNAcentral lists this ribosomal RNA (253 nucleotides) under uncultured bacterium. RNAcentral describes it as "partial 16S ribosomal RNA". It matches the Rfam family "Bacterial small subunit ribosomal RNA", at positions 524 to 776 of the family's 1533-position model. The record is from RNAcentral.